UACGGAGGGUGCGAGCGUUGUCCGGAAUCACUGGGCGUAAAGGGCGCGUAGGCGGCUACUUAAGCGUGUGGUGAAAGUCCGGGGCUCAACCCCGGAUCGGCCGUGCGAACUGAGUGGCUCGAGCACUGUAGAGGCAGGUGGAAUUCCGGGUGUAGCGGUGGAAUGCGUAGAGAUCCGGAAGAACACCGGUGGCGAAGGCGGCCUGCUGGGCAGUGGCUGACGCUGAGGAGCGAAAGCGUGGGGAGCGAACAGG
Molecule: ribosomal RNA, 253 nt
Filed under: uncultured bacterium
Lineage: Bacteria
Description: partial 16S ribosomal RNA
Rfam family: Bacterial small subunit ribosomal RNA
Source: RNAcentral